UACGAAGGGGGCUAGCGUUGUUCGGAAUUACUGGGCGUAAAGCGCACGUAGGCGGACUAUUAAGUCAGGGGUGAAAUCCCGGGGCUCAACCUCGGAACUGCCUUUGAUACUGCUAGUCUCGAGUCCGGAAGAGGUGAGUGGAAUUCCGAGUGUAGAGGUGAAAUUCGUAGAUAUUCGGAAGAACACCAGUGGCGAAGGCGGCUCACUGGCCCGGUACUGACGCUGAGAUGCGAAAGCGUGGGGAGCAAACAGG
RNAcentral lists this ribosomal RNA (253 nucleotides) under uncultured bacterium. RNAcentral's name for it is "partial 16S ribosomal RNA". It matches the Rfam family "Bacterial small subunit ribosomal RNA", at positions 524 to 776 of the family's 1533-position model. The record is from RNAcentral.